This 497-nucleotide ribosomal RNA is filed under the name uncultured bacterium. RNAcentral's name for it is "partial 16S ribosomal RNA". It matches the Rfam family "Bacterial small subunit ribosomal RNA", at positions 28 to 507 of the family's 1533-position model. The record is from RNAcentral.
GAUGAACGCUGGCGGCGUGCCUAAUACAUGCAAGUCGAGCGAACGGACGAGAAGCUUGCUUCUCUGAUGUUAGCGGCGGACGGGUGAGUAACACGUGGAUAACCUACCUAUAAGACUGGGAUAACUUCGGGAAACCGGAGCUAAUACCGGAUAAUAUUUUGAACCGCAUGGUUCAAAAGUGAAAGACGGUCUUGCUGUCACUUAUAGAUGGAUCCGCGCUGCAUUAGCUAGUUGGUAAGGUAACGGCUUACCAAGGCAACGAUGCAUAGCCGACCUGAGAGGGUGAUCGGCCACACUGGAACUGAGACACGGUCCAGACUCCUACGGGGGGCAGCAGUAGGGAAUCUUCCGCAAUGGGCGAAAGCCUGACGGAGCAACGCCGCGUGAGUGAUGAAGGUCUUCGGAUCGUAAAACUCUGUUAUUAGGGAAGAACAUAUGUGUAAGUAACUGUGCACAUCUUGACGGUACCUAAUUAGAAAGCCACGGCUAACUACGUG